GUUCAGGAUGAACGCUAGCUACAGGCUUAACACAUGCAAGUCGAGGGGCAGCAUGGUCUUAGCUUGCUAAGGCCGAUGGCGACCGGCGCACGGGUGAGUAACACGUAUCCAACCUGCCGUCUACUCUUGGACAGCCUUCUGAAAGGAAGAUUAAUACAAGAUGGCAUCAUGAGUCCGCAUGUUCACAUGAUUAAAGGUAUUCCGGUAGACGAUGGGGAUGCGUUCCAUUAGAUAGUAGGCGGGGUAACGGCCCACCUAGUCUUCGAUGGAUAGGGGUUCUGAGAGGAAGGUCCCCCACAUUGGAACUGAGACACGGUCCAAACUCCUACGGGAGGCAGCAGUGAGGAAUAUUGGUCAAUGGGCGCAGGCCUGAACCAGCCAAGUAGCGUGAAGGAUGACUGCCCUAUGGGUUGUAAACUUCUUUUAUAAAGGAAUAAAGUCGGGUAUGGAUACCCGUUUGCAUGUACUUUAUGAAUAAGGAUCGGCUAACUCCGUGCCAGCAGCCGCGGUAAUACGGAGGAUCCGAGCGUUAUCCGGAUUUAUUGGGUUUAAAGGGAGCGUAGAUGGAUGUUUAAGUCAGUUGUGAAAGUUUGCGGCUCAACCGUAAAAUUGCAGUUGAUACUGGAUAUCUUGAGUGCAGUUGAGGCAGGCGGAAUUCGUGGUGUAGCGGUGAAAUGCUUAGAUAUCACGAAGAACUCCGAUUGCGAAGGCAGCCUGCUAAGCUGCAACUGACAUUGAGGCUCGAAAGUGUGGGUAUCAAACAGGAUUAGAUACCCUGGUAGUCCACACGGUAAACGAUGAAUACUCGCUGUUUGCGAUAUACUGCAAGCGGCCAAGCGAAAGCGUUAAGUAUUCCACCUGGGGAGUACGCCGGCAACGGUGAAACUCAAAGGAAUUGACGGGGGCCCGCACAAGCGGAGGAACAUGUGGUUUAAUUCGAUGAUACGCGAGGAACCUUACCCGGGCUUAAAUUGCAGAUGAAUUACGGUGAAAGCCGUAAGCCGCAAGGCAUCUGUGAAGGUGCUGCAUGGUUGUCGUCAGCUCGUGCCGUGAGGUGUCGGCUUAAGUGCCAUAACGAGCGCAACCCUUGUUGUCAGUUACUAACAGGUUCCGCUGAGGACUCUGACAAGACUGCCAUCGUAAGAUGUGAGGAAGGUGGGGAUGACGUCAAAUCAGCACGGCCCUUACGUCCGGGGCUACACACGUGUUACAAUGGGGGGUACAGAGGGCCGCUACCACGCGAGUGGAUGCCAAUCCCCAAAACCUCUCUCAGUUCGGACUGGAGUCUGCAACCCGACUCCACGAAGCUGGAUUCGCUAGUAAUCGCGCAUCAGCCACGGCGCGGUGAAUACGUUCCCGGGCCUUGUACACACCGCCCGUCAAGCCAUGGGAGCCGGGGGUACCUGAAGUGCGUAACCGCGAGGAGCGCCCUAGGGUAAA
RNAcentral lists this ribosomal RNA (1440 nucleotides) under uncultured organism. RNAcentral's name for it is "SSU rRNA". It matches the Rfam family "Bacterial small subunit ribosomal RNA". The record is from RNAcentral.